GACAUGUGGAGAUCUGGCUCUGUGAAAGUGAGGAGGGCAUGUGCUGCUCCUGACACCCUGCAAGGUAGAAACAGUCACAUCCUGGAAACACAACUCCUGAGGCUGUGAUCUCAUGGCAGAACCACAUCCUCCCUGAAAGGUCCAUUCUGAGGUUGCUCAUACUAACUGUAGGAAUGUGGAGUUUGCUAUGGAUGAAGUUGUGUGUGGUAAUGAACCUCUGGAGGCCAAUUUUCUUUUAGAUGCAUGAACUGUAGAUGUCAAUACAGCCUUCUGUUUUCUGUGGCUUUUCUUCAGGACAGCUUGACUCCUUGCUAAGCUCUAUGGACCAGUGACUCCAUCAUUGCUGUGAUCACCUUCUAAAGAUGGUCAAAGCCCUGAUGGCCCAAACUGCAUCCAGACAUAUGGCACAAGGCAUCCAUAAUGUUGUUAGCACAACUGGCACAUGUGUUAAAAGCCUUAUUUUGGGACUUGAAAGACAGUGACAGUAGCCUGACCAUUAAUGGAAUGGAAAACAAAACAAGAAAACCAAGAUUAUUCUGGGACUUGCAUAUGAUCUCAAACUGAAAUUCAGAGAGGAAAAGUUAGCUUGAAGAUUAGGUCCCUGGAAACAACAAAGAAGGAAACAGAGGCCUUGUAAAGGCCACAACAUUGUCUGACCCAGGUUAAAACUCCAUGUCUGUCACGGAGAUAAAUUCAUGUGUAUGAUGGCAGAAGGCAUGCCUAGAAUCUUGGUUUGGAUGUCUUGGGGUAGAAGCUGAGGGAGUAGAAUGGAAUCCCAGGUGAGGCUUUAGCUGAUAAAGUGUAAAAGAAGCCAAGAGAGAGCAGCCAGGUCCUUGAUUCAUACAUGGCCAUGGUUUACUUAGAAUAUUUUUCUGGUGUGGGUUGCUCUGGUUGCUACUCUCUGCAUCCGCUGGUUUCCUAGAGCUGCAAAGUUGGGUUAGAUUGCUCAUGAAACUGUUCAACAUAAUUUGGGUCCAGAGAUAAUAGCCCUUUCUUCCUCUCUGCUACUAGAAAUUUCAAAGUCUUGAAAAUGUACUUUUAUUUAUGCUCUACUCUGGGUAAAGGUUGUGUAUGCGUAAAUACAUGUGUGUACACAGCUGUUUCUUCCAGAAGAAGCUAUCCCAUUAGCAGUGGGUGCCUACAAUCCUGAAUAAGUGGUGGCUUUGUUUUGGAAAUCUUGGACUGUUUUUGGUUGGACAUGAAAGAGAGGAGCCAGUAAAAGCCUUCUGGAUUGCAAAGUCAUUGUUUGAGUGUCCGGCUCUCUGAGUGGACUGCAAAGAAUAGUCAAGUACCCAGGUGUCCUGUAGUUCACCUCAGGGAAAUUUAGGUGUUUCCAUUGGCAAACCAAAAACUGAGCAUGGUGGGAGUAGAUCUGCUUAGACAAGAGACACACAGCAGUUGUGUCUUCAGUCCUCUGUCCUCACCUCAUCCCAGGAGAUGGGCAUGUAUUGCUGGUCAGUCCAGAUGCAAAGCCCAAAGCCACCCUUAGGGUGCAAGUCUCGAUCUGCUGGUGGAAAGAAAUCAGCAGAACAAUUCCCUUCAAAUGUGUGGUUGUGGAGUCAGCAAUGCUUGCAGCUUGCUACUUUUAAGAGAGAUGCCUCAUGGCCUGGUGGUUUGGGAGGUGGGGGGAGACCAGGUGUGCACCCAGCCUGACUGUGGAUUUGCCCAAGUCAACCUGUGGAGUAGAAGGGAGCAAAAGAACUACUGACCCCUGGGGAGCAAGAAAUCUUCUUCUGUGGGAAGCGGGGAAUGAUGAUGGAUAGCGGCAGUGCCAGUGACUUUUAAACGAAGACAUUCCUGGAGAAAAUACAGUGCCCCUCCCUGCUCAACACAGAAACUGCUGGGGAUGAUGUUUUUCUGUCACAGGAUGGGAGUAACCCCCUUGGAAGUCAAUUGAAUGUUUUAGCAGAAAAAUAAGGCCCAAGGCUAUUAUGUGUUUGAUAAACCUUGCACAAGAGAGAGCAGGAGGAGAGACCUGUUGGCUUAAGAAUUCCAGCACAGGAUGGGAAUAAAUUCCAUUGACCUCUGGGAGAGUAACUCCCAUCCUGACGCAGGAGAACUCAUUUUCAGGAAAAACCCACAUGCUUUAUUGAAGUGCUACACUGAUGCCCAAUGUCUUUCUAGAACAAUGAAGCACUUAAUGGUGACUUACUUAACAGUUACUCUCUCACAUGGGCUCUCUUGUAUGAAUUUAUAUUUACACUCAGUUAAGUGCAGGGAGUGAUUCUAAGUUGCAUGUAAUGAUACAAUUCUGCAUGUCUUUUUUCCCUUGACCGCAUAUAGGAUGAGCUGUAUGGAAUGACAGGAUGUUUGGAGAGAAAGAGUUUUGGACAAAAGCCCUACUACUUUUGUUUGCAAGGGGGAGAUAUUUCAUUCACUUGGGGGCACAGAAACAUGUGCUGCCUUUUUUUUUAUUUUUUUAGGCUCUGCUUUAUAUUUGCUUGUAUUGUAGUUUCAGAUUGUUCUGUUCGGUUUUUGUCUUUAUUUCGUAUGAUUUUUAGUUAAUUAUAAAUAAGAGGACAAAUAUCUGCCUAUCCCUCAGAAGGUCUGCUGUAUUUUCCAAAACAAAGAAACAGGCUGAGUCAGAGGAUGUUUUCAUUUGUGCAAAACAGGGUUUAUUGAUGCCACAGGUAAUUAUUAAUUAAGUGUUUCCAGAGCAAAAUAUGGAACAAACCUCUAGUGUUGGGAUUGGCACAUAGAAAAGUAUGAAUGUGAGUUUACAAAAAUACAGAGAAAGUUCAGACAUAUUCUGGACCAAGAACAAGUUAGAAUCUAAAAAUAUGUGGUAAAAAUUGAGUGGACUAAAUAUGAUUAUCCAUAAAUAUAGGAAUAUUUAUCAUCUAAUCUGGCAGCAUAUCAGUCAGGGGAUGUAAACUGGGUUCCACAAAAAUGUGUAGCAAUCCAAGGAUUUUUUCAGGGUAAUUGAAAAGGAAAAAUGGGUUGUGUACAAACCACAUACAUUGAAAAAAGAUAUAUAUACAAUUUUUAUAAGACAUAUGGCUAUUGAAACCCUUAAUACUAGGAUGAACUUCUUUCAACAAGGUCUUUACCGCUUCAUUCAACUGGGGAUAUUUGAGUGGCACAAAUUUUAUAAAUUUAUAAUUAUAUAAGCUUGUCAGGUGCUGUAUAAGCACCAGAAGCAAGCAGUAGUACUUAGCAAAUGGGAACUCUAACUGUCAAUGUCAAUUUAACUUUCCUUUAGCUCUUGAAAAUUUUGCUAACAGGCUGCUGAUUAAUGUGAUGUGCAUUUAAUUAUAAGUGACUAUUUCUAAUCCUUGCAACAACUAAUGUUAACUACAGUAGUGUUGACAAGGAGGGUGAUUAAUAAGCAGAGUGUGGUAGUUUGGGUGAGCUUGGCAUCAGGCUGUGGUAGUUGAAACCUGAAUUUUAUUCUGCUCUGUGAAGCUUUUAGUCUCAGGCUUGGUUGGCCAUUGGCUUAUUACCUAAAAUAAAAUUGCCAGCUGUUAGGUGGCAGCUUUACUGGCAGUGGCAGACUGAUAUCAGGAGAUGAGCAGGAAGGCAGCUCCUUUGGUCUCCUUUGCCUGGGUCUGUCCUGGGAGUAGAGGAGGACCAUCUCCUUGUUGCUGGAGUGGUUUCCACAGCAAAGGUCCUCCUAACUUCACUUAUACCAGGCUAGCAGUUGCUGAGCCCAUCAGAAGUGACAGAAAACACCUGAAUCUUCCUGUGAAUCUUGUUCAUGCGGGAAUAAUUUGAUCCUUCAUUAUAAGAGGUACAGUUCUGAAGGGCACUUCUGUUCCUCUCAAACACCUGUCUUUCCUGGGCAAAAUCCACAGGGGAAUACAGCCUCAGGAUGAAUUCAGAACAGCAUGCUAUUCUCAUGAUGACUGUAAUUUUCCAAUACAGUAGCUGCUGACCCAAUUAAUUUUGGGAAAGUUGUGGAUCAGUUAGAAGUGGGAGAGAAUAUGUGGAAGUGCAACCUCCUUGUCAUUUUUUCCAGGCUGUGUCCAUCUGCAAGUGACUAAAUGCCUACUUACGUAGGUAUUGAAUAAACAAGGAGGUGGAUCCAUUUUCAUUUUGCUGUGUUGUAGCUCCCAGUUCUCCUCUGAUUUCCCAGGCCAAGACAAAACCUACCCCUAAGUCAGUGGCGAGUGCCACUAGGUGUCCUCCGACUUCCUCCCAGCAGCCUGAUCUGCAGCAUAUAUACAUCAUCCCAGCCAGACCCUUCAGUCUAAUGAUGAUGAUUCACCACAGUUAAGGAUCUGGUUCAUCUUUUUUGAAUUAUUUCUUGCUUCUCACAUUUUCAGUUCAUUUUAAUUGAGUUUUCCCUGAGGUCACCAGCUCUGUGUUGGCUUCCUGCUAUUCUCAUUAACAUUGCGUUUGCCCAGGCUGAGAAAUUCAGCUCUCACACAUAUUCAGUUCAAGCUCAGUAUAGGAGUUUGCUAUUUGAGUUAAGGAACCUGCUUAAUAAAACCUCCUGUUACCUGAAUGGUAAUAGGACUCUUUCCUCCUUCUUUAUCUUCCUGUUCUCUUUUAAUUGGCAUGUCACAUGUAUUCAGCAUAGGUCACAAAUAUAAUACUUCUUGGACAGAGUUCACGUGACAGCACAGCAACUAUUGAAAUCGGUGCGCUGUUAUUUCCAGCUGGUGAACAUAUAUAUCGAGGAUGACUUUUUCUUAUCUGUCCUUGUGGAGUUUCUGACAGUGCUCAGUCUCCUUGGAGGCAGGAUACUAUUUCAAUAUGAUCCAAUUCGACAUUGCUGUGUUUCCAAGGUGCUUACAGUGCUAUGCUGGUGAUCCCAUGUGAGAACAGCAGUUUCUUAUGACCCUGUUUAACACUUUGCUGUCAUUCAUACUCAGUUAUGUCACCUCAUCAGCUUUAGACCACUGCCAUAAGGGCACUUCGUGACUGGAAGGAAAGGCUAUUCUACUGCUUCUGCCACUGAUGCAUUGAACAAAAUCCUCCACUGUUCUUUAUAUCCACAUUUCAUAAUUGAGAAGAAAAGAUGAAAUGAUUAGCCUGGCACCUGCUGAGUUGCAACAGAAGGGCAGGUGGAAUGGUUAAGUGGUGUAUCUGUAACACGUUCAGCUAGAGCAGAGAGGAGUGGUGUAAAGUAAUAGUUCUGCCAUGAGUGAAUCAUAGUUCUGUAUAGCAUUAACUCAGGGAUCUGAGCAAAGAAAAUAGAGAACAAUUAUUUCAUUGAUUUGUGUGGCCACAACAUAACUGCUUCCAGUUUGUGAUUUCCUACCCUAAUUAGUUUCAUUCAAAAUGUACCAAAACCCGAAGAUUUCAUCUUUGAGGCAGACAUAGAUAUACACUGUUUAGCCGUUCCUCCAUGGGUGUGAACUGUUCUACAUUUCAUGGAUCUGGCACUGUCUAUCUGAUCUAUAGCUGCAAGACAGCUAAAUUAAUCCAGUCUAAUCACCAUGAUAAAGCAAUAUUUUUGUAAAACUUAACUCUGAACAGUAUGAGAUGAAACAGAUGUAAAUAAACCUGCAUUUUUAUAGAUCAUAUCUGUCUUUCUAACUGAUACCAAUAAAGAAAAUCUGAUUAAGUUCUUGGUAAAGGGUCACAAUAUUUGAACAAACUCUGCUGGAAGCAUAAAGUUGUCCAUUAUUCAAUGUAUAUCCACUAUAGUGAAAUACAACCCUAGAGAAAAACAUGUAUAUGAAACAUAGAAGUAAUGUGGCAACAACAUAUGAGGUUCCUCACAGCUGAUUAAUUAAUUAAUUAAAUAUUAUCUGUUUGUCAAGA
Long non-coding RNA from Columba livia (rock pigeon), 5712 nucleotides. RefSeq lists it as uncharacterized. The record is from RefSeq and is a predicted model, not a curated record. The transcript has 5 exons. Lineage: Eukaryota; Metazoa; Chordata; Aves; Columbiformes; Columbidae.